Molecule: ribosomal RNA, 335 nt
Filed under: uncultured Pseudomonadota bacterium
Lineage: Bacteria; Pseudomonadati; Pseudomonadota
Description: bacterial SSU rRNA
Rfam family: Bacterial small subunit ribosomal RNA
Source: RNAcentral
AGCGAACGUUAGCGGCGGGCCUAACACAUGCAAGUCGAGCGAGAAAGGGGCUUCGGUCCUGAGUAAAGCGGCGGACGGGUGAGUAACACGUAGGUAAUCUUCCCUUGAGCGGGGGACAACGGUCCGAAAGGACCGCUAAUACCGCGUACGUUUCCGAGGACCUCGGUCCUUGGAAGGAAAGCUAGGUCGCAAGAUCCAGCACUCGAGGAGGAGCCUGCGUCGCAUCAGCUAGUUGGUGGGGUAAUGGCCUACCAAGGCGAAGACGCGUAGCUGGUCUGAGAGGAUGAUCAGCCACACUGGGACUGAGACACGGCCCAGACUCCUACGGGUGGCUG